GGCUCAAUGGUCUAGUGGUAUGAUUGUCGCUUCGGGCUUUUUGGGUUUCUAUUCAAAGUCCUCUGCUCCUAGAGCAGGUCUGAGCAUGUGACAGGUCCCGGGUUCAAAUCCCGGUUGAGCCC
This is a non-coding RNA of Oidiodendron maius Zn, 122 nucleotides long. The record is from Rfam. NCBI's taxonomy places the organism in Eukaryota, Fungi, Ascomycota, Leotiomycetes, Myxotrichaceae.